RNAcentral lists this unclassified non-coding RNA (4319 nucleotides) under Stylophora pistillata. Its description in RNAcentral is "neural cell adhesion molecule 1-like, transcript variant X3". Lineage: Eukaryota; Metazoa; Cnidaria; Anthozoa; Scleractinia; Pocilloporidae. The record is from RNAcentral.
AAACAUCACACCGAAAAUCUUUGACUUUUUUUGUCACAGUGAAGGUUUAAAAAUUAGUGAAAAGUAAAGAAAGUCACAAGGUAAACUCAUCUGACGUUCAUUGUCUCCAAGUUGGUGUCUAUUCAAAAGAAUUUCCUAAUCUCUAAUGUGACGGAAAGAGAAACUCAAAAUAACAUGGCAAGGCAACUAAUUCUGUACUCCAUCUUAACUAUUGGCUACUUAAGAUGCACAUGAUUUUCGUGAUCAAAACAUAUCUUUUGGUCAAUCACAAAAUAAACAGCGCUGUCUAGAAUUUCUUCGUCAGAAAACCGCAGUUGAUAGCUGUUUAGCCAGUUCAUGGCUCUCAUCGGCGUUCCAAAACAUUGCCUAGCCAUCUUGAUGCUUCAGGUCCAGGAAGCGGCGAUGAUGAAGAUUCUCCUUGAGAUCGGAGCCCUGUGCUCGAUGACCGUUACUCGCACAGAUGGAACAGUUACGCUGCCCUCGCAAUCAUUCAAAAUCCAACAAGGAAGAGACUUCAGAAUAUCAUGUGAGGUGAUAGGAGAAGAUUUCGUACAUUGGCAAACACCAUCAAAACCAGCUCGGCCGGGAGUACCAGCAGUUCCAAGUGUUAACAUUCCAGAAACAACGACUACUGGUCCCAAACACAUCAAAGUGUCUGGGAACACUUACCAACUAGUAGUACAGGAUGUUGCUGUGAAGGAUGGAGGGAAUUAUGUUUGUCAAGGAGCAGUUAACUCUGCGACCAUCACCCUUGAAGUUGACUUUGAGAUAGGAGGGGUCCAAGCAAAACAGACCCUUAACAUUGGUGAAAAAGGAGUCAUAGAACUAAAUGUACCUGCAUUCCCUCCACCUACUUAUGAAUGGGUUAAGGAUGGAAAGGAGCUGACCUUCCCUGACCCAAGUGGAAGAAGAUCCCUUGAUGCGUACACGGGAUCAAUAACCAUCACACAAGUCCAGAAAAGUGAUGAAGGAAACUAUACUUGCACAGUGUCACAGCUUGACUCAACUGACAUUGAAGUGACAGUUUUUGAAAAGCCAAAAAUCAACAAGGCAAGUGGGAAUCCUGUAACACGAGUAUUAACACAAGGUUAUAACGUGACGUUCACAUGUGAUGUAGAGUCUGGCUACCCCGAGCCAAGAGUAGAGUGGUGGUUUGAAUGGUCAGGCAAGGAAAAGGAAGUGGAGGUGAUACACUACCCAAGAUACACACAUCCAACUCCUAAGACAUGGUUAAUUACAAAUAUUCAGGGAGAGGAUAAGGGAAAGUACAGAUGCAUAGCAGUAAAUGAAGCUGGUGAAGAUGUUCAACUGUUUCAUAUCACGCAGGUUUUUGUUGCACCAGAAAUUGAUCCAAUGCAAGAUAUCAUUGCCAAUGAAGGCAGCAGAGUUGAGUUGACCUGUUCAGUAACAGGUGAUCCAGUACCUUCAGUGGAAUGGUUUCACCAAGGAAUUUAUUACUCUGGCCAAACGCUUUCAAGGGAUGUUCCAAACAACAAAAUUGUUUCAAAAAUUGUAUUUGAAAAAGUGCAAGUUCAAAACUUUGGAAACUACACAUGCAAAGCAAGGAAUGGUGCCAGUGACCCGACCACUGGUACUGUUAUUGAAGAAGAGAAAACCGUUGAACUCCUUGUAAGAUCUAUGCCAAAAAUCAACAUACCUGAUUCUCCUACUCCAGUUUACUCUUUUGUGGGACGCAGGUUUCCUGUGCAAGUUAUGUGUAAAUUCUUCGGAUAUCCAGUUCCCACAGUAAAAAUGUUUUCUGAAAAUGGCACAGAGAUUGCAAGUGGAAACCAGUCAGUGUCAAUUAACAUCACUACUUUAUCUGAGGAUGAUUUUGGCAUUUUCAACUGCACUGCAGAGAAUGCUCAAGGAACAGCAGAAUAUUUGGUGGAGUUGAAACAAGCAGUUCCACCUGGACCACCCCAAUUUGUCUCAGCAGAGAAGACUUGCUACAGUCUCACACUUAAGUGGCAGGAACCAGUCGAAAUUGGGGGAAUGCCUAUUAUCAAUUAUAUUGUAACAGUAUUCUUUUCAAAUGGCACUUGGUUCCUGACCAAAAAUGUUGCUGGGUCAGUAAGGAUGGAAGAGAUCAAUUUGCAGUCUGAGGCUACUUAUCAUUUGCACCUAAAAGCACGCAGUGAGGCAGGACAAGGAAAAGAGGAGAUACUGCUUGUCACAACUAACAAAUUCUGUGUGCCUGGAAAACCCACCAUCACCAACACAGAAACAAAUGUUGAUGUAAACUUCAUUGUAACCUGGAGAAAGCCAGAUGAGGAUGGCGGCGAUCCAAACUUGAAAUACAGACUGGAAUGGCGCAAGCAACCUAUAGAUGACAACACAGAAGUGGGUAAAGAGGAGAAUAUCAAGGAAACUCGAUUCAAGAUUACUGGUCUUGAAUAUGAGUCAGAGUAUGAGGUAAAACUCUUCGCAGUCAACUCAGAAGGUGAUAGUGAGGCAGAUACCAAAGAUUUCAAAACAAUUCAAAGCCCUGGUACAAUCGCAGCACUUGUCAACAAACUUGGACCAGGCGCCAUUGCUGGCAUUGUGAUCGCUAUCAUUCUUAUCGUUCUUAUCGUGAUCGAUCUUUUCUGUUGCUUCUUCAACAACUGCGGAGUAUUCUUCUGUUGUCAACAGGCCCUUUGCGGUGGCGGAGGAGGAGCUGAAAAGAAAGGCGAUUAUAUGGAUGGGAAAGCCACAGAAAUGGAAAAGAAACCAAUAACCGAAAAAGUGUAGUUUGCAAGCCUGCAUUUCAGAAUGUCAGCGGAAUAUCAGCGGUGUAGCUGGAAGUUUGAAGGGGAUUUAAGCAACCACGAUGGCAACGCUAAGAAUUAUAUCUAAGAUCGUAUUUCAACUUCAAAAUAAGAAAAGUUUAGCCUUUAAUCUUUAACAGAAGACAAAUUUAGAUCCUUAUUAAUCCAUAUAUAUGAACUUGAAAAUGCUUGUUUCUCUCUCUUAGUUAGCCUACCUUGUCCAACUACCCAAAACAAAGAAUUUUCGUAGUGUCGUUAAGAAAUGUUUUGCUGUUUACCACGAAAAGAAUUUGACCCACUCUUUCGUGGAUAGGGCCCUGGAAAGAAUAAAACGUAAGGUGCAUGCGCAGUUAUCGCCCAUGAAGUUUCAUGGGCAAUUCUUGCGACGUAGAAGCAGUCCGAUUCAGCGCGUGAAAUGUAUCGCACGUGCCAUUCCCGUUGCCUUGGUAGCUACUUUAACUCUCUUCAAUCACUAGUGCAUCAUCUUCAAGGUCCAGCUUAAGAAAGGUUGAUUGCUAUCAUAUAGGCCUCUUCUUUUUUACUCGGAGGGAGGAUAACCCUAAUUAUGGGUAACCCUACCCCCAGGUAAACCUAUCUUGCAUGUAAAGCGAACUGUAGUGGGGAAGGCCCCUGGGAAACCCUAGUGAUAACGUCACCCUGCUCCAUGCAAAAGGGGACUUAAAAAAUAGGGGUUAUUUUUAACAGUUUAAACGAUUUAAUUCAUGGUUUUCUACUAUGGUCUUGGUCUUAUAUUUACUACUUCUGCCGCAAUCUCAGUUGCAUUUAAAUACUUUAUAAUUGUAUUCCAUUUAGUUAAUAUAAUUUUUCAUAUAAGCUUGUUGUGUCCAUAUAAUUUUGAGAAAUGACACCGUUUGAAAUAGGCAUUUUAUCAUUGGUAUUUUUUUUUCUCUUUAGAGCAUAAAUUUCUCAGAGUAAUCCGUAUAAAUUUUUAAGAAACAAUUUUUUGAUUUCUUAUUGAAAGAGGUUUCAAAAGUUCUUUUGGAAGGAAAGUUACCAAAACCAGGAGAUCCUCAGAGUUGAUAGAACGUCUGUGAUAAGUGGUUCUGUGCGCAUGCUCAGUGACUCUACAAGGAUCUCGUAACCGAAAGUUUUUCUCCAUUGCUGAAGAAUUUUUGAGCUAAGUCAAACAUCUUUCGAAUGCAAUGAGCACGCACAAUAAAAAUUUUUUAUCCCUCUUUGUACUUCUAUCCGCGCGAUUAGCUUUUUUAUUUUUUUUUAAACUAAGUUAUCUUUUUCAAUUGUUUCAGCUUGUUCCACUUUUGUGACAAACUGACUUACACAGUGGACAAUUUCACACUGAAAAAAAAAGAUGACAUUAUUUAAGAAUGAGAGUGGUGAGAUUUUUUUCAAAGAAGUUCCUGUCUCUAAAAGGGGGGGCUUAAAGAAUUUACUGUUAGUGGAAUGGUAACUUUUAAGCUUAACUACAAAUAAGGGAAUUUUUAUUUCAUUUUCGUCUGCUUAAUUCUCUCUUUGUUGUUAUGAUUUGUAAUAUCAAGUGUGUGUAACAGCAAAUGCUGAAAAGCUUACAGUAAAAUAUUUCAAAGUGUG